ACAAGCGGAGGAGCAUGUGGUUUAAUUCGAUGAUACGCGAGGAACCUUACCUGGGCUCGAACGUAAGAUGACUGUAGGUGAAAGCUUACAUCUCUUCGGAGCAUUUUUACGAGGUGCUGCAUGGUUGUCGUCAGCUCGUGCCGUGAGGUGUCGGGUUAAGUCCCAUAACGAGCGCAACCCUACCUUUAGUUGCCAUCAGGUAAUGCUGGGGACUCUAAAGGAACUGCCUACGCAAGUAGUGAGGAAGCGGGGAUGACGUCAAAUCAGCACGGCCCUUACGUCCAGGGCUACACACGUGCUACAAUGGCCGAUACAGAGGGCAGCUACCUGGUGACAGGAUGCAAAUCUCCAAAGUCGGUCUCAGUUCGGAUCGGAGUCUGCAACCCGACUCCGUGAAGUUGGAUUCGCUAGUAAUCGCGCAUCAGCCAUGGCGCGGUGAAUACGUUCCCGGGCCUC
RNAcentral lists this ribosomal RNA (456 nucleotides) under uncultured Sphingobacteriales bacterium. Its description in RNAcentral is "bacterial SSU rRNA". It matches the Rfam family "Bacterial small subunit ribosomal RNA", at positions 925 to 1381 of the family's 1533-position model. Lineage: Bacteria; Pseudomonadati; Bacteroidota; Sphingobacteriia; Sphingobacteriales. The record is from RNAcentral.